GAUGAACGCUGGCGGCGUGCCUAAUACAUGCAAGUCGAGCGAACAGAUAAGGAGCUUGCUCCUUUGACGUUAGCGGCGGACGGGUGAGUAACACGUGGGUAACCUACCUAUAAGACUGGGAUAACUUCGGGAAACCGGAGCUAAUACCGGAUAAUAUUUCGAACCGCAUGGUUCGAUAGUGAAAGAUGGUUUUGCUAUCACUUAUAGAUGGACCCGCGCCGUAUUAGCUAGUUGGUAAGGUAACGGCUUACCAAGGCGACGAUACGUAGCCGACCUGAGAGGGUGAUCGGCCACACUGGAACUGAGACACGGUCCAGACUCCUACGGGAGGCAGCAGUAGGGAAUCUUCCGCAAUGGGCGAAAGCCUGACGGAGCAACGCCGCGUGAGUGAUGAAGGUCGUCGGAUCGUAAAACUCUGUUAUUAGGGAAGAACAUACGUGUAAGUAACUGUGCACGUCGUGACGGUACCUAAUCAGAAAGCCACGGCUAACUACGUG
This 497-nucleotide ribosomal RNA is filed under the name uncultured bacterium. RNAcentral's name for it is "partial 16S ribosomal RNA". It matches the Rfam family "Bacterial small subunit ribosomal RNA", at positions 28 to 507 of the family's 1533-position model. The record is from RNAcentral.